GCAGACGCGGCUUGGAUCACGAGUUGCUGUGGCUCUGGCGUAGGCCGGCGGCUACAGCUGAUUCGACCCCUAGCCUGGGAACCUCCAUAUGCUGCAGGAGCAGCCUAAGAAAAUGGCAAAAAGACAAAAAAAAAAAAAAAAAAAAAAAAAGGCAAACACAGGAGGAGGAGGGCAGUGGAGGCCAAGACCUCUGGAGUCUAGGACUCAAGAGCUCACGCCUUCUCUGCCAGGGACUUGCAAAGCUCGUGAAGACCUUCCUCCACCUGCCCUAGGAACUCCCUGGCCAGUGGAGCAGGAAGCCAGCAAACAGACUGGUCUGUUCAGCAAUGGUCCCCUUCCAAGGGGCUUUCAGGUAAGACUGUGCAAAUCCAGAUUUUCUUUAGUAGGGUCACAUUCAGCAGGUGCACCUAAGAACCUCACAUUCGUAGGUUCCUCUCUCAGGGCCCCCGUUCUCUUGUACUUCCAUGGCUUCCCAAAUCCAACCGAAUGGGCUUGCCUUUCAGCAGGGGGUGGCCCUUUGGCCUGUGGGAAUCACUGGGUACAUUUGUACUGACCAUCUGCUAUGUUUAGGGAACUCUAUGUACAUUAUCUUACUUUUGUCAACCACUCUUCAGUAGGUAUUACCACCUCCACUGCACAAAGAAACAGACUCAGAGCCAAAGUGACUUGUGACAGUUCCCACGGUAAGUGGCAGCAGAUCCAAUUUUCCAACCAAGUCUUUUGAAUCCAACGAAGUUUCCCAAUAUUUACACUGAAAACAGUCCUGUUUUUUGUUUUUGUAUUUUGGGGGUUUUUUGGGCUGUGUCCAUGGCACGUGGAAGUUCCCAAGCCAGGGAUGGAACCCACAUCACAGUACUGACCUGAGCUGCUGCAGUGACAAUCAUGACAAUGCUGGAUCUCUAACCUGCUAUGCCACAGGGGAACUCAAAAUGCUCCUAGGUUUGAAUCCUAGGUCUUUCGGUUUCCUGCUGUGUGACUUUUUUUUUUUUUUUUGCUUUUUAGGGGCGCACCUGCAGCAUAUGGAGGUUCCCAGGCUAGAGGUCUAAUCAGAGUUAGAGCUGCCAGCCUAUUCCACAGCCACAGCAACAUGGGAUCUGAGCCACGUCUUUGACCUGCACCACAGCUCAUGGCAACGCCAGAUCCUUAACCACCGAGUGAGGCCGGGGAUCAAACUCACAUCCUCAUGGACACUAGUUGGGUUUGUUAACCGCGGAGCCACAAAGGGAACUCCCCUCCUGCUGUGCGACUUUGGGCAAGAACGUUAACCUCCGUGAACCUUGCUUCCCUCUGUAAAGCGAGGCUACUAAUAGGAAUAGUCCUAGGAGAGCUGUGAGGAUUAAAUGAGAUCAGAAAUUGUAGAGCAUUUAGCACAGGACCUGGUUCAGUCAAUGCUUCAUUUCUUCCCCUCUUUGUUUAAUGUGUGACUAGAUGAAUCCCUGCCCUGAUUUGCUCAUUUGCUCACCAUUCAUUCAAUGAUCUAUUAUUACCAACCACUGUACUCGGUACAGGGACACAGUGAUGAGCAAAACAACAUUCCCGCUCUCCGCUCCCGUGGAGCUCAUGGGGGAGAGGAGAGAACCAAACAAAGACACUGAUGCAUCAAUCAAACAAAUAACACAAGUAAGUUUACAAUGACGACCGGUAAGUGCCAUGAAAGAAAACUGCAGGGUGAUGUGAAAGAAUACAAGGUGGGGCUUGGGGUUCCCAUGGUGGCACAGCAGCAGCAAAUCCAACUAGGAACCAUGAGGUUGUGGGUUCGAUCCCUGGCCUCGCUCAGUGGGUUAAUGAUCUGGCAUUGGCGUGAGUGGUGGUGUAGGCAGGCAGCUGUAGCUCCGAUUAGACCCCUAGCCUGGGAACAUCCAUAUGCCGCUAGUGAGGCUCUAAAAAGAAAAAAAAAAAGAACAUGGGACUUAUUUCAGACUUGGGGUCAGGGAAGGUCUCCUUGUGGAAAUGAGUUUAGGCUGAGACCUUGGAGCGGACAAAAUUCCAAGAUGAUCCCCCAGAUUCCCAGCCCCUGAUCUACACACUCUCCUAUCUUAUCUCCUCCCCUUGGGUGUGGGUGGGACUGGGACUGGGAUAGAUUCCACUCUUGUGAUUAGGUUAUAUGACAAAGGUGAAGGAUUUUACAGAUGUAAUUAAGAUCUCUAAUCAGCUGACUUUGAGUUCAUCAAAAGGGCGAUUAUGCUGGGUAGGCCUGUCCAAAGGGCCCUUGCUGUAGAAAGAGAUCUGAAGCCUGAGAGAAACUUGGCUGCUGGCCUAGAAGGGGUAAACUGCCAUGCUGCGAGGGGAAGCCACAGGCAAGCCCCUAACAGAGACCUCUCAUAGGGGAGCACGGUCCCUGAUUGACAGCCAGCAAGGAAAUGAGGAGUCCAGUCCUACAACGGCAAGGAAGCACAUCCUCCCAACACCCUAAGGGAUCUUGGAAGUGGAUCUUUCCCUCAUUGAGCCUUCAAGGGAGGAUGCAGCCCUGCCAUGACUUUAUCCCGUGAGGCCCUGAGUGGAGGAUGCAAGUAAAAUGGGCCAGACUUCCAAUACUUGAAAACUAUGAGAUGAUAACUUUAUGCAGCCAUAGAAAACUAAUACAGGAGUUCCCGUCAUGGCGCAGUGGUUAACGAAUCCGACUAGGAACCAUGAGGUUGCGGGUUCGGUCCCUGCCCUUGCUCAGUGGGUUAAUGAUCUGGCGUUGCUGUGAGCUGUGGUGUAGGUUGCAGACGCGGCCCGGAUCCCGCGUUGCUGUGGCUCUGGCGUAGGCCGGUGGCUACAGCUCCGAUUGGACCCCUAGCCUGGGAACCUCCAUAUGCCGCGGGAGCAGCCCAAGAAAUAGCAAAAAGACAAAAAAAAAAAAAAAAAAAAAAAAAAAAAGAAAGAAAACUAAUACAGUCUUGAAGGAGGGGCAGGAGUUAGUGAGAAAAAUAAAGGGAAGAGCAUCCCAAAUAGGGGAUGGCAUCUAGGAAGGCCCAGAGGUAGAAUAAUC
This 2974-nucleotide long non-coding RNA is filed under the name Sus scrofa (pig). RNAcentral describes it as "lncRNA (ENSSSCG00025068111.1)". Lineage: Eukaryota; Metazoa; Chordata; Mammalia; Artiodactyla; Suidae. The record is from RNAcentral.